RNAcentral lists this long non-coding RNA (596 nucleotides) under Hordeum vulgare. RNAcentral describes it as "long non-coding RNA (HVUL_LNC001611)". The record is from RNAcentral. Lineage: Eukaryota; Viridiplantae; Streptophyta; Magnoliopsida; Poales; Poaceae.
GGGCGUGGGUGAUCUUAAUGUUUUUUGAGACAUGGUAAAUCCCAACCUAUCUCUUUCCAUUGUCGUUCCAGAUCUGGCAACCUCCUUAACUAAAUCCCAACCCAAUACUACUUGGUUGGGUGGUUAUUUGCUAUUUAUAAUUAAAUUUUGUCAACAUGGUCUCUCUCUUCUACAUGGUUACAUUUCCCUUGUUUUGACUAAUGAAAAUAAAAAGGCGGGAGCGCAAAGAAAAACUCCUCGACCAGCAUUUUGUCUUCUUUUUUUUCCUUUUUAUGAAGAACAUUGGAGUGACAUUCUUUGUAUUAUCAGUUGUGUCGGUGGAAGCUUGAAAAUAUAGGAAUAUAUGUGUCCUCUCCUUUAAGGUUGUGUUUUGCAGAAUAUGUGGUGAAUGGAGGGUUGCAUUCAUGGAGUCAUCUGAUUUAUUAGAGUGGACUUUAUAGACUAUUGUAAGUUUGUUGAAUGAUAAUGGCAUUUUCAAUCACACCAGUACCACUUCAGCAUUGCAGAUGCAGGACUAGAGAUGCUACUAUUUUUGUGUCAUAACUAUGCCAUGUAACUAAGAUACAUCUUUGUUUGUCCUUUUAGUGGAAAAUAUA